GACAGUAUAGCUUAGUGGUAGACAUGUGCUUAGUAUGCACGAGGUCCUGGGUUCAAUCCCUAGUACCUCCA
Molecule: transfer RNA, 71 nt
Filed under: Camelus bactrianus (Bactrian camel)
Lineage: Eukaryota; Metazoa; Chordata; Mammalia; Artiodactyla; Camelidae
Also listed under: 2 other names
Rfam family: tRNA
About the family: Transfer RNA (tRNA) molecules are approximately 80 nucleotides in length. Their secondary structure includes four short double-helical elements and three loops (D, anti-codon, and T loops). Further hydrogen bonds mediate the characteristic L-shaped molecular structure. tRNAs have two regions of fundamental functional importance: the anti-codon, which is responsible for specific mRNA codon recognition, and the 3' end, to which the tRNAs corresponding amino acid is attached (by aminoacyl-tRNA synthetases). tRNAs cope with the degeneracy of the genetic code in two manners: having more than one tRNA (with a specific anti-codon) for a particular amino acid; and 'wobble' base-pairing, i.e. permitting non-standard base-pairing at the 3rd anti-codon position.
Source: Rfam by way of RNAcentral